Molecule: ribosomal RNA, 443 nt
Filed under: Echinocardium cordatum (sea potato)
Lineage: Eukaryota; Metazoa; Echinodermata; Echinoidea; Spatangoida; Loveniidae
Description: partial 16S ribosomal RNA
Rfam family: Bacterial large subunit ribosomal RNA
Source: RNAcentral
CCUGAAAAAUAAGCAUAGGGGGUCCUGCCUGCCCAGUGACUGAAAAGUUAAACGGCCGCGGUAUCUUGACCGUGCGAAGGUAGCAUAAUCAUUUGUCUCCUAAAUAGAGACUGGUAUGAAUGGCAAGACGGAGCUUCACUGUCUCCUCCUCUUUGAUCUGAACUUCACAUUCCCGUGAAGAGGCGAGAAUUAGUUCGUAAGACGAGAAGACCCUGUCGAGCUGUAGCUAAAUUUUAAUUGUUGUUUACUAUUAGCCCUAACUAAUUAUAAUAAGAGUAGUAGGCCUAAAGCAUGACAAAUUAAAACAAGCUUUGAUUGGGGCAAUCCCGGAGAAAGAAAAUCCUCCGCUACUAUAUGGUUAUAUUAACCUAAAAUAAAAGAAUUAUUUUUCUUAAAUCAUAAAAAUGAAGAUAUGAUCCACUUACAGUGAUCAAAAGAACAAG